This 381-nucleotide ribosomal RNA is filed under the name uncultured marine Chaetocerotaceae. Its description in RNAcentral is "SSU rRNA". It matches the Rfam family "Eukaryotic small subunit ribosomal RNA", at positions 587 to 972 of the family's 1831-position model. The record is from RNAcentral. Lineage: Eukaryota; Bacillariophyta; Thalassiosirophyceae; Chaetocerotales; Chaetocerotaceae.
AGCUCCAAUAGCGUAUAUUACAGUUGCUGCAGUUAAAAAGCUCGUAGUUGCAUUUCCGAGGCAAGGGAUUAGUCCGACCUUUGGUGGGUAUUUAAUCCUCUUGCCUCGUCCUUGAGUGGUGCUUCUUGGUAUUAAGUUAUCGAGGAGAUAGCCGCUCAUCGUUUACUGUGAGAAAAUUAGAGUGUUCAAAGCAGGCUUAUGCCGUUGAAUAUAUUAGCAUGGAAUAAUAAGAUAGGACCUCGGUACUAUUUUGUUGGUUUGAGAACCAAGGUAAUGAUGAAUAGGGACAGUUGGGGGUAUUCGUAUUCAGUUGUCAGAGGUGAAAUUCUUAGAUUUACGGAAGACGAACUACUGCGAAAGCAUUUACCAAGGAUGUUGUCA